Molecule: ribosomal RNA, 388 nt
Filed under: uncultured bacterium
Lineage: Bacteria
Description: bacterial SSU rRNA
Rfam family: Bacterial small subunit ribosomal RNA
Source: RNAcentral
AUUGAACGCUGGCGGCAUGCCUUACACAUGCAAGUCGAACGGCAGCACGGGAGCAAUCCUGGUGGCGAGUGGCGAACGGGUGAGUAAUAUAUCGGAACGUGCCCAGUCGUGGGGAUAACGUAGCGAAAGCUACGCUAAUACCGCAUACGAUCUAAGGAUGAAAGCGGGGGAUCGCAAGACCUCGCGCGAUUGGAGCGGCCGAUAUCAGAUUAGCUAGUUGGUGAGGUAAAGGCUCACCAAGGCGACGAUCUGUAGCUGGUCUGAGAGGACGACCAGCCACACUGGGACUGAGACACGGCCCAGACUCCUACGGGAGGCAGCAGUGGGGGAAUUUUUGGGACAAUGGGCGCAAGCCUGAUCCAGCAAUGCCGCGUGCAGGAUGAAGGCC